AUUGAACGCUGGCGGCAGGCCUAACACAUGCAAGUCGAACGGUAGCACAGAGAGCUUGCUCUCGGGUGACGAGCGGCGGACGGGUGAGUAACGUCUGGGAAACUGCCCGAUGGAGGGGGAUAACUACUGGAAACGGUAGCUAAUACCGCAUAACGUCGCAAGACCAAAGUGGGGGACCUUCGGGCCUCCAACCAUCGGCUGAGCCCAGAUGGGAUUAGCUAGUAGGUGGGGUAAUGGCUCACCUAGGCGACGACCCCUAGCUGGUGUGAGAGGAUGACCAGCCACACUGGAGCUGAGACACGGUCCAGACUCCUACGGGAGGCAGCAGUGGGGAAUAUUGCACAAUGGGCGCAAGCCUGAUGCAGCCAUGCCGCGUGUAUGAAGAAGGCCUUCGGGUUGUAAAGUACUUUCAGCGGGGAGGAAGGCGGUGAAGUUAAUAGCUUCACCGAUUGACGUUACCCGCAGAAGAAGCACCGGCUAACUCCGUGCCAGCAGCCGCCGUAA
This 504-nucleotide ribosomal RNA is filed under the name uncultured bacterium. Its description in RNAcentral is "partial 16S ribosomal RNA". It matches the Rfam family "Bacterial small subunit ribosomal RNA", at positions 29 to 523 of the family's 1533-position model. The record is from RNAcentral.